UCUGCUCCACCACCAGGCCCCGGGUCCAGAAGAGAAUCGCUCCCUUGGGGGCAAACUUUAUCCGUCUACAACGGCUGACCUUUGACCUCGUUGCUCACCAUUGACACAACGAUCCACCAGCAACAGGUCGCCUGCUGUCAACAGCCAUUCCGGUUCCUCCGAUGUAUGGGAGGUUUUAGAGCAGACUUGUUUCCGGCAGGAUGUGGGGAGGGGGCUUUGGCUGCCCACCUAUAGGUGCAGGGAAGUGGGCUCCGCCCUAAAGGGAUCCCUCUUCUCUCAGGCACUGCUUUGCACUUUGAACAUGGAGCCAAGGGUCAAGGUGGUGUAGUGGACUGACUGUAGGGAACAAUCCAGUCUGCAGUGGAUUGUGGGAAGCAUCCAGGUUGAAGGGUGAAAUAACGACCCGGAGUAAGCUGAAGAAAUCGGUUAUUUAAUAUCAAAAGCUUCACAAGAUCAGGUCCUUUAGGAUAAGUCGGCUCAGACUGCAACUCAACCAACCACUGAAAAUAGUACCCACCAUACUUCAUGGACUUCAAUGAGACAACAGGUGUGUGAACGCGAUGGGAGCUUCGUUGUCGCGCAGUGUGUUGUUCGGUAAGAAGAAGAAACACAAGCCGGCUGUGUUCAGGGCCUUGAGCGUGCUGAGGGGGGCGCUGCACAUUAAGACACCAAAGAAGAAGAAAAACAACAACAGCCUUCUCACGCUACACGGCUGGGGGACAAAGAAGCAGAAGAAGCAAAAGAGGGAGGGCCCUUUCAAGAGCUGGCUCUCAUUGGAUGGGAAGGGCAAGAAGAAGAGCAACAAAUCGUUUGGCAACAGCAUUCCAAAGGACUCUGUAUUCAAGCAUCUACCAAGAAGACGGAAGGACGGGAAUGAUGAAGGGAGUGGAAAAGAAGAGAAGGAGACUAAGGGUGGUUUACUUUCCAACAAAGGUCCUCCCCGACCUUUCGUAUUGUAAUCUCAGGUACACAAUGGAACAUUGAUUAGAGCAUCCCAACUCCCCUCCCCUAUUUCUGGAUUUAUAGCUUCCAAUAGACUUGCAGCCUUUUAAAUCAGCCACACCCCCCCAGACUUAAGACAUUUGCAGGUAUCAAGCGUUUAAUGAUAGGUCAGUUUCUAUGGGUUAAACAUGCAAAUUCAACGUUGGGAUUCAACCCACAAUGCCAUCAUGUCUGCUGGGUUACAGUUCAAAGGUCAGAUCUUUAAAUAUAUUAACAUUAUGAGAUUGAUUUGAUGUGCACAUGCAAACCAAGAGAACAAAACGAUAAUUCUAAAACGACCCCCCCCACCCCCUCCUUCAGAGUACCCUUGGAUUAAGAAAAAAAAGUGCAACAACUUCACCAAAGAAAUACAAGUUAUACAUGGAUUCAGCCUUUGAUUGUGAACAUUUUAAAA
Long non-coding RNA from Gadus macrocephalus (Pacific cod), 1396 nucleotides. RefSeq lists it as uncharacterized. The transcript has 3 exons. The record is from RefSeq and is a predicted model, not a curated record. Lineage: Eukaryota; Metazoa; Chordata; Actinopteri; Gadiformes; Gadidae.